This 433-nucleotide ribosomal RNA is filed under the name uncultured bacterium. RNAcentral describes it as "bacterial SSU rRNA". It matches the Rfam family "Bacterial small subunit ribosomal RNA", at positions 28 to 478 of the family's 1533-position model. The record is from RNAcentral.
GAUGAACGCUGGCGGCGUGCUUAACACAUGCAAGUCGAACGAUUAAGACGGCUUCGGCCGUGUAUAGAGUGGCGAACGGGUGAGUAACACGUGACCAACCUGCCCCGCGCUCCGGGACAACCGCUGGAAACGGCGGCUAAUACCGGAUGCUCCGGGGAGGCCCCAUGGCCUCCCCGGGAAAGCCUUAACGGCGCGGGAUGGGGUCGCGGCCCAUUAGGUAGACGGCGGGGUAACGGCCCACCGUGCCCGCGAUGGGUAGCCGGACUGAGAGGUCGACCGGCCACAUUGGGACUGAGAUACGGCCCAGACUCCUACGGGAGGCAGCAGUGGGGAAUUUUGCGCAAUGGGGGGAACCCUGACGCAGCAACGCCGCGUGCGGGACGAAGGCCUUCGGGUUGUAAACCGCUUUCAGCAGGGAAGACAUAGACGGUAC